This 414-nucleotide ribosomal RNA is filed under the name uncultured bacterium. RNAcentral's name for it is "bacterial SSU rRNA". It matches the Rfam family "Bacterial small subunit ribosomal RNA", at positions 355 to 786 of the family's 1533-position model. The record is from RNAcentral.
UGGGGAAUAUUGCACAAUGGGGGAAACCCUGAUGCAGCGACGCCGCGUGAGCGAAGAAGUAUCUCGGUAUGUAAAGCUCUAUCAGCAGGGAAGAAAAUGACGGUACCUGACUAAGAAGCCCCGGCUAACUACGUGCCAGCAGCCGCGGUAAUACGUAGGGGGCAAGCGUUAUCCGGAUUUACUGGGUGUAAAGGGAGCGUAGACGGCAAUGCAAGUCUGAAGUGAAAGGACGGGGCUUAACCCUGUGACUGCUUUGGAAACUGUGUAGCUUGAGUGCCGGAGGGGUAAGCGGAAUUCCUAGUGUAGCGGUGAAAUGCGUAGAUAUUAGGAGGAACACCAGUGGCGAAGGCGGCUUACUGGACGGUAACUGACGUUGAGGCUCGAAAGCGUGGGGAGCAAACAGGAUUAGAUACC